RNAcentral lists this long non-coding RNA (588 nucleotides) under Drosophila guanche. The record is from RNAcentral. Lineage: Eukaryota; Metazoa; Arthropoda; Insecta; Diptera; Drosophilidae.
GGCCGACGGAUUUGCUUGUGAUACAGAAAAAAAAACAAAAAACGAACUUGAACUUGGGUGAUCUCUUUCCUAGUUGCUAAUUACUUGCCAAAUUUUUUGUUUUUUUUUUGUUUUUUUUGUUGUUUUUUGAUGUUCUAAUUGUUAACUUUAUUUUUGCAGCUUGUUGAUUGAGUUGGCUACCAUUAAUGAGCUGGAGAUGGCACUAGCGACAGCGACAGACACGAGACGAGACUGGCGAGAGAGAGGGAGAGAGAGAGAGAGAGAGAGACCGAGUGUGCGAGCGAGAGGGGGCAGAGCGCGAACUGAGCAAAACACAAAGAAUUUGUUCUGGCACGAAAUGUUUGUCCAAUCCUCUGAUGUUGCUUAUUUGUUUUUAUUUUGUGACCUUUUUUUGUGGUGGAUUUUUGACUUUGUUUGCGGUUUGUUUCCUUUUCUUUUUAACCAGAGUCUGUGAUGAUUCGAUUUCGAUUGAAGUUCGAGUGGAGUUGCAUUGAGUGGAGCGGAGGAGUUGAGUUGAGUUGAACUGAGUGGAUGGCUGUUGAAGCUGCUGCGAGAUCCGUGCGGCACGUGCGAACACGUUCAGAUUUC